GAAGGACGUUACUAACGACGAUAUGCUUUGGGGAGCUGUAAGUAAGCUUUGAUCCAGAGAUUUCCGAAUGGGGAAACCCAGCACGAGUUAUGUCGUGUUAUCUGCAUGUGAAUACAUAGCAUGCAAGAAGGCAGACCCGGAGAACUGAAACAUCUUAGUACCCGGAGGAAGAGAAAGAAAAAUCGAUUCCCUGAGUAGCGGCGAGCGAAACGGGAAGAGCCCAAACCAAUAAGCUUGCUUAUUGGGGUUGUAGGACACUCUGUACGGAGUUACAAAAGAAUUUGUUAGACGAAUAACCUGGAAAGGUUAAUCAGAGAAGGUAAUAAUCCUGUAGUCGAAAACGAAUUCUCUCUUGAGUGGAUCCUGAGUACGACGGAGCACGUGAAAUUCCGUCGGAAUCUGGGAGGACCAUCUCCUAAGGCUAAAUACUCUCUAGUGACCGAUAGUGAACCAGUACCGUGAGGGAAAGGUGAAAAGUACCCCGGAAGGGGAGUGAAAGAGAACUUGAAACCGUGUGCUUACAAGUAGUCAGAGCCCGUUAAUGGGUGAUGGCGUGCCUUUUGUAGAAUGAACCGGCGAGUUACGAUCUGAUGCAAGGUUAAGCAGAAAAUGUGGAGCCGUAGCGAAAGCGAGUCUGAAUAGGGCGAAUGAGUAUUUGGUCGUAGACCCGAAACCAGGUGAUCUACCCUUGGUCAGGUUGAAGUUCAGGUAACACUGAAUGGAGGACCGAACCGACUUACGUUGAAAAGUGAGCGGAUGAACUGAGGGUAGCGGAGAAAUUCCAAUCGAACUUGGAGAUAGCUGGUUCUCUCCGAAAUAGCUUUAGGGCUAGCCUCAAGUGAUGAUUAUUGGAGGUAGAGCACUGUUUGGACGAGGGGCCCCUCUCGGGUUACCGAAUUCAGACAAACUCCGAAUGCCAAAUAAUUUAACUUGGGAGUCAGAAUGUGGGUGAUAAGGUCCAUAUUCGAAAGGGAAACAGCCCAGACCACCAGCUAAGGUCCCAAAAUAUAUGUUAAGUGGAAAAGGAUGUGGCGUUGCCCAGACAACUAGGAUGUUGGCUUAGAAGCAGCCAUCAUUUAAAGAGUGCGUAAUAGCUCACUAGUCGAGUGACACUGCGCCGAAAAUGUACCGGGGCUAAACAUAUUACCGAAGCUGUGGAUUGUCC
This 1165-nucleotide ribosomal RNA is filed under the name Staphylococcus pseudintermedius. RNAcentral describes it as "partial 23S ribosomal RNA". It matches the Rfam family "Bacterial large subunit ribosomal RNA", at positions 51 to 1212 of the family's 2925-position model. The record is from RNAcentral. Lineage: Bacteria; Bacillati; Bacillota; Bacilli; Caryophanales; Staphylococcaceae.